GAUGAACGCUGGCGGCGUGCCUAAUACAUGCAAGUCGAGCGAACAGACGAGGAGCUUGCUCCUCUGACGUUAGCGGCGGACGGGUGAGUAACACGUGGAUAACCUACCUAUAAGACUGGGAUAACUUCGGGAAACCGGCGCUAAUACCGGAUAAUAUAUUGAACCGCAUGGUUCAAUAGUGAAAGACGGUUUUGCUGUCACCUAUAGAUGGAUCCGCGCCGCAUUAGCUAGUUGGUAAGGUAACGGCUUACCAAGGCAACGAUGCGUAGCCGACCUGAGAGGGUGAGCGGCCACACUGGAACUGAGACACGGUCCAGACUCCUACGGGAGGCAGCAGUAGGGAAUCUUCCGCAAUGGGCGAAAGCCUGACGGAGCAACGCCGCGUGAGUGAUGAAGGUCUUCGGAUCGUAAAACUCUGUUAUUAGGGAAGAACAAAUGUGUAAGUAACUAUGCACGUCUUGACGGUACCUAAUCAGAAAGCCACGGCUAACUACGUG
Molecule: ribosomal RNA, 497 nt
Filed under: uncultured bacterium
Lineage: Bacteria
Description: partial 16S ribosomal RNA
Rfam family: Bacterial small subunit ribosomal RNA
Source: RNAcentral